RNAcentral lists this ribosomal RNA (484 nucleotides) under uncultured bacterium. RNAcentral's name for it is "partial 16S ribosomal RNA". It matches the Rfam family "Bacterial small subunit ribosomal RNA", at positions 30 to 507 of the family's 1533-position model. The record is from RNAcentral.
AUUGAACGCUGGCGGCAGGCCUAACACAUGCAAGUCGAGCGGAUGAAGGGAGCUUGCUCCUGGAUUCAGCGGCGGACGGGUGAGUAAUGCCUAGGAAUCUGCCUGGUAGUUGGGGAUAACGUCCCGAAACGGGCGCUAAUACCGCAUACGUCCUGAGGUAGAAAGUGGGGGAUCUUCGGACCUCACGCUAUCAGAUGAGCCUAGGUCGGAUUAGCUAGUUGGUGGGGUAAAGGCCUACCAAGGCGACGAUCCGUAACUGGUCUGAGAGGAUGAUCAGUCACACUGGAACUGAGACACGGUCCAGACUCCUACGGGAGGCAGCAGUGGGGAAUAUUGGACAAUGGGCGAAAGCCUGAUCCAGCCAUGCCGCGUGUGUGAAGAAGGUCUUCGGAUUGUAAAGCACUUUAAGUUGGGAGGAAGGGCAGUAAGUUAAUACCUUGCUGUUUUGACGUUACCAACAGAAUAAGCACCGGCUAACUUCGUG